This is an RNA transcript of Bubalus bubalis (water buffalo), 2878 nucleotides long. It is a transcript of the gene named component of oligomeric golgi complex 5, with no coding region annotated. NCBI's taxonomy places the organism in Eukaryota, Metazoa, Chordata, Mammalia, Artiodactyla, Bovidae. The record is from RefSeq and is a predicted model, not a curated record. The transcript has 23 exons.
CGCGCCGCUGCUGACGGCAUCACUCCCGCACCAGCCAACAUGGAAGGUGGUGACGGCGGCGUCUCUAUGGCUGGCCGUGGGGCUCCGGGUUCUGGAGCUGCUGCAGCCACUGUCCGGGAGCUCCUGCAGGACGAGUGUUAUAGUGAUUUUUUAAAUGAAGACUUUGAUGUAAAGACUUAUACUUCUCAAUCUAUUCAUCAAGCUGUAAUUGCUGAACAACUAGCAAAACUUGCCCAAGGAAUCAGUCAGUUGGAUAAAGAACUACACUUACAGGUCGUUGCAAGACAUGAAGAUUUAUUGGCACAAGCAACUGGAAUUGAGUCUUUGGAAGGUGUCCUUCAGAUGAUGCAGACAAGAAUUGGGGCUUUACAGGGAGCCGUUGAUAGGAUGAAAGCAAAAAUUAUUGAGCCAUACAAUAAAAUAGUAGCCCGUACUGCUCAACUAGCAAGACUUCAGGUUGCCUGUGAUUUGCUUCGGAGAAUCAUUCGCAUCUUAUAUCUCAGUAAGAGACUCCAAGGACAACUGCAGGGGGGAAGUAGAGAGAUAACAAAAGCUGCUCAGAGUCUCAAUGAACUUGAUUAUCUUUCUCAAGGAAUAGACCUUUCUGGAAUAGAAGUGAUAGAAAAUGAUCUACUUUUUGUUGCAAGAGCUCGACUUGAAGUGGAAAAUCAAGCUAAGCGCCUACUGGAGCAGGGUGUGGAGACUCAGAAUCCAACCCAGGUCGGAACCGCUCUUCAGGUUUUCCAUAAUCUUGGAACUUUGAAGGACACUAUUACCAAUGUUGUGGAUGGAUAUUGUGCUGCAAUAGAAGAAAAUAUCAACAGUGCAUUAGAUAUCAAAGUUUUGACUCAGCCUUCCCAGUCAGCUGUGAGAGGGGGACCUGGACGAUCUACCAUGCCAACCCCAGGGAACACUGCAGCUUUUCGUGCUUCCCUCUGGACCAACAUGGAGAAACUUGUGGAUCAUAUUUUUACUGUUUGUGGUCAGGUGCAACAUCUACAAAAAAUAUUAACCAAGAAGAGGGAUCCUGUCUCUCACAUUUGUUUCAUUGAAGAAAUAGUUAAGGAUGGACAGGCUGAAAUUUUAUAUACAUUUUGGAAUUCAGUUACUCAAGCACUUUCUUCUCAAUUUCAGACAGCAACAAAUUCUUCUAUGUUUUUGAAACAGGCAUUUGAAGGCGAAUACCCAAAAUUAUUGCGGCUUUAUAAUGACUUAUGGAAGCGUCUUCAACAAUACAGCCAAAAUAUUCAAGGAAAUUUUAAUGCAAGUGGAACUGCAGACCUCUAUGCUGACUUACAACACAUGGACGAUGAUACACAAGAUGUAUUCAUACCGAAAAAGCCAGAUUAUGAUCCAGAAAAGGCUUUGAAAGACUCACUACAACCCUAUGAGGCUGCAUAUCUAUCAAAAUCAUUAUCUCGACUCUUUGAUCCUAUCAACUUGGUUUUUCCUCCUGGUGGUCGUAAUCCUCCUUCUGCUGAUGAACUUGAAGGUAUCAUUAAAACUAUAGCGAGUGAACUAAACGUAGCUGCUGUUGAUUCAAACCUCACAUUAGCUGUGUCAAAAAAUGUGGCAAAGACCAUCCAGUUGUAUGGGGUAAAAUCAGAGCAGCUGCUCUCCACACAAGGGGAUGCAAGUCAGGUGAUUGGACCUCUUACCGAAGGACAGAGAAGAAAUGUGGCAGUAGUAAAUUCACUAUAUAAGUUGCACCAAUCAGUAACAAAGGUGGUUUCCAGUCAGAGCUCAUUCCCACCAGCAGCUGAGCAAACUAUAAUUUCAGCCCUAAAGGCGAUCUAUGUUCUUAUGGGAAAUGCUGUGCAACCCUUGCUGACUUCUGUGGGUGACGCCAUCGAGGCUAUCAUCAUCACUAUGCAUCAAGAAGAUUUUUCUGGAUCAUUACCCAAUUCAGGAAAGCCUGAUGUUCCCUGUUCUCUCUACAUGAAGGAGCUUCAAGGUUUCAUUGUCAGAGUUAUGAGUGACUACUUUAAACACUUUGAAUGCUCGGAUUUUGUCUUUGACAACACUGAAGCUAUUGCCCAAAGAGCCAUCGAACUUUUUAUCCGCAACGCCAGUCUCAUUAGACCUCUUGGUGAAGGUGGGAAAAUGCGACUUGCUGCUGAUUUUGCACAGAUGGAGUUGGCUGUGGGUCCAUUCUGCAGAAGAGUAUCUGAUUUGGGAAAGUCCUAUCGAAUGCUGAGGUCAUUCAGACCACUGCUCUUCCAGACAAGUGAACACGUGGCCAGCAGCCCUGCACUGGGGGACAUAAUUCCAUUCAGCAUCAUUAUUCAGUUUUUGUUCACAAGAGCACCCCCUGAGCUGAAAUCCCCCUUCCAGAGGGCAGAGUGGUCCCACGCACGCUUCUCCCAAUGGCUGGAUGAUCACCCUUCUGAAAAGGACAGGCUCCUCCUCAUCAGUGCUGUCCUGUGCCUCAUGCAGCCCUAAGAACCUUGCACCUUGAAAACCAUCUUCAGCUAUGAAAUGACUCCUGGCCUUGGCUCCACAUUUUCUGCUUCAUUUCCACACGGGCAGUUACUGAAGUGGUGGAGUACAGCCGUGAGGGUGCUCUGGAAGCUUAUGUUCAAUCAGUAAGAAGCAGAGAAGGCAAAGAAUUUGCACCGGUUUAUCCCAUAAUGGUUCAGCUGCUUCAGAAAGCUAUGUCUGCUCUUCAGUAAGAAUGUGAAGUAUUUCUUAAUCUCCAUUUUGUGCUAACCCAUCCAGGGGUGGCAAAUACAUACUCUAAAAAGACAGCUACCAUCUACUGUUCCAUGAAUGUAAUUGACUUUUCUGUAUUUCCUUGUUGACCUCUUCUGUUUACCUCUUAAGCUCUUCUACCUUAAGUAGCAUAAAAUGUCAAAAUAGAUUCAUCACCACCUUGAAA